RNAcentral lists this transfer RNA (70 nucleotides) under Amphinemura claviloba. Its description in RNAcentral is "tRNA-Trp". It matches the Rfam family "tRNA". From Rfam's summary of the family: Transfer RNA (tRNA) molecules are approximately 80 nucleotides in length. Their secondary structure includes four short double-helical elements and three loops (D, anti-codon, and T loops). Lineage: Eukaryota; Metazoa; Arthropoda; Insecta; Plecoptera; Nemouridae. The record is from RNAcentral.
AAGGCUUUAAGUUAAAAAAACUAAUAGCCUUCAAAGCUAUAAAUAAAGGCAAAUAAUUCUUUAAGCCUUA